GACGGACUGACGGUGUGUGUGCUCGCUCUCUCCGCGCCUCUGCUGCUGCUGUGCUCCCUCUAUCUCUGUGUGCGCGUGCGCCCCCCCCCCCCUCCCCAAUUUAUCUCCUGUCCUGUCCACAUUGGGUGUGGAGGUGGAGGUAUGUAGCACCGGGGAAAAAAAAUAGUGGCGUUUUAUGGCACUGUUGGUUUUCCAUACCGGAUUCCCCGUACCGAGCAGCAUGUAGCACCUGGUGCCGCGUUUCCCCCGAAGAAAGCAUCGCCUGAACGAGGAUUAUUCUGGGGGUGGGUUGGGGGAUUUAUUCCUUAUUUUAGAGGAGUGUUAGUGUGUGUUUCCCCCGCCGCUCUGCACCUCCCGGUCGAUGGUCGUUGAGGAAGCUUCCAUCUUGAGAUCUACCGAGAGCACCAUGGCGAGCGACUCCCCUGCGCGCAGUCUGGACGAGAUAGACCUGUCUGCACUCCGGGUAAAUCCAUCUGUAUCUUUGACUGGUGC
Molecule: long non-coding RNA, 492 nt
Organism: Notothenia coriiceps (black rockcod)
Lineage: Eukaryota; Metazoa; Chordata; Actinopteri; Perciformes; Nototheniidae
Exons: 3
Source: RefSeq, a predicted model, not a curated record